RNAcentral lists this long non-coding RNA (819 nucleotides) under Bos taurus (domestic cattle). RNAcentral describes it as "long non-coding RNA NONBTAT022314". The record is from RNAcentral. Lineage: Eukaryota; Metazoa; Chordata; Mammalia; Artiodactyla; Bovidae.
AUUCCAGGAGAAGGAAAGGCCCAAGAAUCAUUUUACUUUUUCCGUCAUAGUUUUCUGAAGCUACUUUUAAAAAAUACAUAUAUGUGCUCAGUACUUUUGAACUAACUUCUUUUUUCCCUUGGUUCAUAACAGUUUAAAUUCCAAACUUUUGACUUUUUUUUUUUUGUAAUUUUAAGAUAAAUGCUUUUGACAUGAAUUUUUGCUUACGUUUAUGUUUGUAAGUUGAGACCAAAUGGGCAACGUCUUAGGCAGGCAACAUUUGUGAUAUGUAUAUAUUGGAACAAACGUAAAAGGGCCACAGAGAUUAGAGAGUCAUAGAAAAUGGCUUGAUUAUAAUAAAUGCAUUGCUCUGGUGCUCUAUAUAAUGGGAUAUAUUGAACUAAAUUUGUAUAUACAGUAUGUCAGCAUUUCUUAGUAACUUCUCUUGAAUCCAUUUUUAAUAUCUAAUAUUAUACAGGUUGGGGAGUUAUAUACUCUUCAGGCCAAUACUAUCCAGACAGUGAUUUACUGGUCCCUACUGAUUUCCAAAUUGGAUCACUGUAGUGAAUUAUCUAUGCUGGUACCUGUGAAAGUAAGCCCUGGGAUCCAUAUUUGUUUUGUGUUCUGCUUAAAUCAGCAAGAAUGAUAAAUUUGAUGGUGUGAAAUUGGAAGUGUCAAGGGCUUUCUCUGGUGAUUGAGCAAAAUAAUGUCUCCACUUGUAAUUUAUUGUGACCCUUUUCCACUGUAUGUGCUUUGUGUAUCUCAUAUUUAUUUCAAUACAAAUUAAAUUGUUAUUCUUCAUCUGUAUUGUUAUAUCUAAGAUUUUAUUGAUGUAAAAAU